AGACGAACCGGGCGAACGUUAUUCGGAAUCACUGGGCUUAAAGCGUGCGUAGGCGGCUUGGCAAGUUGGGUGUGAAAGCCCUCGGCUCAACCGAGGAACUGCGCCCAAAACUGCCAGGCUUGAGGGAGAUGGAGGUGAGUGGAACUAAUGGUGGAGCGGUGAAAUGCUUUGAUAUCAUUAGGAACACCGGUGGCGAAAGCGGCUCACUGGGUCUCUUCUGACGCUGAGGCACGAAAGCUAGGGGAGCGAACGGGAUUAGAAACCCCUGUAGUCC
RNAcentral lists this ribosomal RNA (274 nucleotides) under uncultured bacterium. RNAcentral describes it as "partial 16S ribosomal RNA". It matches the Rfam family "Bacterial small subunit ribosomal RNA", at positions 523 to 796 of the family's 1533-position model. The record is from RNAcentral.